Molecule: ribosomal RNA, 253 nt
Filed under: uncultured bacterium
Lineage: Bacteria
Description: partial 16S ribosomal RNA
Rfam family: Bacterial small subunit ribosomal RNA
Source: RNAcentral
UACAGAGGGUGCGAGCGUUGUCCGGAAUCACUGGGCGUAAAGGGCGCGUAGGCGGCCUGGUAAGCGUGCGGUGAAAGCCCGGGGCUCAACCCCGGGUCGGCCGUGCGAACUGCGAGGCUGGAGCACUGUAGAGGCAGGUGGAAUUCCGGGUGUAGCGGUGGAAUGCGUAGAGAUCCGGAAGAACACCGGUGGCGAAGGCGGCCUGCUGGGCUAUGGCUGACACUGAGGCGCGACAGCGUGGGGAGCGAACAGG